Molecule: long non-coding RNA, 36788 nt
Filed under: Panicum hallii
Lineage: Eukaryota; Viridiplantae; Streptophyta; Magnoliopsida; Poales; Poaceae
Description: long non-coding RNA (PHAL_LNC000357)
Source: RNAcentral
CGAACAUAAAAACAGAGCACAGAUGAACACGGAUCUAGUUCAUACGAUCACAUUAAUAGCAUAGCAGAUUCAUAUAACCAACUCAACAGAUUUUGUCCGAUCUAUAGAAGACACAACCGCCAACAUGAAAUUAUUACGCUCGCUCAACCUCCUCACAGAAGCAUCACACGGACUCAGCAGCCUUCACCGACUCGAUCCAGCACAUGUGAAAGCAGCACCUAGGAGCUGGGAGAUGGAGGGCUUGGGCUCGGAGUUCAUGCCGAUGACGAUGACGAGCGGGAUGAAGCCGUAGUGCGCCGCCACCUUGGCCGUCUUCAUCGUCCACGUGGUCCACUCCUUGACGAGCCGCACCGCGGUCGCCGCCCUGGUGGCCUCCCCGCACCUAGCUGCUUUCACAUGUGCUGGAUCGAGUCGGUGAAGGUUGCUGAGUCCGUGUGAUGAUUCUGUGAGGAGGUUGAGCGAGCGUAAUAAUUUCAUGUUGGCGGUUGUGUCUUCUAUAGAUCGGACAAAAUCUGUUGAGUUGGUUAUAUGAAUCUGCUAUGCUAUUAAUGUGAUCGUAUGAACUAGAUCCGUGUUCAUCUGUGCUCUGUUUUUAUGUUCAUCCUGUUAGAAUUGAUCUCCCUGGACCAUCAGACCCCAACGGGCCCGAUGGGCCAGCUCACCUCUGCGCCCUGAUCGGGGGCGUCCCAGCUGAUCUCUAGCUGGUGGGCCCCCGUCGCGCCGCGCUAUAAAAGGACAGGUGGGGCCAGCGGCUCGGAUCACGAGAAUCACCGGCCGCCGCCACCCCACCCACAGUUAACCCUAGCCGAUCUAGUCUGCGCGCGGUCAGCGGCGGGAAGCUCCUCCGGCCACCUUCGACGCUCUCUGCUUCGACCCUGACGCCGUGAACGCGACCUCACCUUCGGCCACCACGAGCACGAACGCCUUCGGACCGACCACCGCGACUUCCCGCACUACACCACCAUGGCGGGCACAUCUGUAUCAGCCGGCGCCCAAGGGCACGAAGGUAUACCCGUGCCCUUCCCCUGUCUAUCUCUCUAUCCCUCUCUGUUGCUCGAUUAAGUCGAUUGCACAGAGCAUCUUCUAAUCUAAUCGCGCACUAGCCGAUCCAUAUUGUUAACAUUGGUAUCAGUCGCCUUAGCUAAUUGCGUUGAUUAGCAUUGGAAGAUUAAGAGGAAAAGAACCCAGAAAAGAUCCAAGAUAGAUUCCCAGAGCACACCCCGCGAUCCUAACCCUAACCCUAGACCACACACACUUACCUGGUCUUCCUUGCGCUGCCCACCGUCGGCGUGCGUGGGACGCCGGCGAGCCGACCAGAUCCCGCGAGGCCUUGCGCCUCGCGCGGACAGAGGCUGUGCGAGCACGCCGCAAGGCCGCUCGCCGCGCCACAGAUCCGGGCACCACGGUGAAGCCCCUCGACGGCCGCGCGCUCACCUUGCGGUGAACGCGCGCGCCGGCGAGGGCGCUCGCCGUGGCGCCGCUCGGUUGCCGCCGGUCGCCGUGCUCUCACUCUCGCUCGGGGUGGAGAAGAAGCAGGCGUCGGGGGAAGGGAAGAAGUGAGCUAGGGUUUUGGAGGCGGGACGGCGAGGGGUUUUUGUUCCGCCGAGACGCGCGCGCGGCCGUCGAUCGUGAUCGGACGGUCGAGGUCGAUCCGCGCACUACCGGGCCUCUUUUGGCCCAGGCGGGAAGGGAAAAAGGCGGCCCGGGCCCAGGUUGUCUCGCCCGAAAGCGCGAGCGCCCGCGCGGGGGUGCGCGAGGGGACGCGGGCCGGGCCUUAGCAGGCCGCGCGCGCGCGUGAGCCCGGUUUUAUGCUGGGCCUCGCGGAAGGAGUGGGCCGGCUGGGCCGCUUGCAACAGAAAGCGCAGUGCAUUGUUUUUUAAAUUUCCAGAAGUCAUUUUUCAAUAGAAUUUGCUUGAAUUUGAUGCAUUUCAAAUUCAAACUUGAUUGAACUUUGAUGCACUGCUUAUACAAGAUAAAUUUAGACACUUUUUUGAUAGAUUUACAGUUUUCCGCUGCAAAGUUUGAAUAGUUUCAUAUGCUAUUGUUUACUUGUCUUGUAAUUUAAAUUUGAACCAACGGGAUAAUUUAAAUUCUUCAAGGCAAAUAGAUAUUUUUCUGAGUUGUAAUAUUGUUAUCCUUUGACCAAUGUUAACAAGUGACAAUAUUGCAAUUUCUAAUGCAUUACCUUUAAUAGAUAUUUUUCAUGUAUUAUAUCUAUUUAUGCCCAACGGUAUUCUAGAUUUAAUACAAAAGAGAUUAUGCCUUAAUUUUUCAUAGAUAAUUUUCAUGUAUUAAUUCUAACUCUGCCCAACGGUGUUUUAGAUUUAAUACACAAGGUUAUUGCAUAUUUUAAUUCAUGACCAACGUCGUAUUUAUACAUAUGCAAUAACUUAUUUGACUUUAUUUUAAUGUUUUCACCACUCAUGAAUAUUUUCAGGAGGAUUAUCAAUGAUGAUUUCCAUCAACGAUAUUCCUAUAUUAAAGGGAGACAAUUACAAUGAAUGGUACAGAAAGCUGGACCUCUAUUUCAUCAUGGGUGAAUUGGAUUGGGUCCUAACUACACCGACUCCCAAAGAGCCUGUGCCUCCUGAGAGAGAGGACACAGACACAGAUGCUUCUUGGAAGCAAACAGAGCUUGCUUAUAAGAAAGUAAGAGCAGACUAUGAGAGACUUUAGGCAAAAUGGUUCCCUGCCAACAAGAAGUGCUUGGCAGUAGUAAAGAACACGAUUGAGCCUGCAAUUAUGGGCUCGAUCCCAGACUGUGCCACUGUUAUAGAGUAUCUUGAAAAAUUAAAGAACCAGUACAUCGGUUCUUCAAAAACUUAUGCAACCCAGUUGAUUAAACAACUGGUUUCAGAAAGAUACACUGGCGGUGGCAUUAGAGAACACAUUCAUCGCAUGGUCAACCAGAACAACAAGCUUAAGUCAUUGGACCUUGCCUUCAAGGAGGAUCACAUUGUCCAUCUGGUUUUUGCUUCGUUGCCAAAAGAAUUUGACACUUUUGUUGUCAAUUACAACACCCAACCACAAACUUGGAAUAUAGAAAAGACUAUUGCGAUGUGUGUUUAGGAGGAGGAAAGGAUAAGGUCCACCACUGGCGGAUCCUUAAACUAUGUGAACAAGAAGAAGCAUGCCAACUUUAAAGGCAAUUUUUCAUCUUCUUCUUCAUUCUCCUCUAAAAAAAAAGCUCUCAACAAGACAGACCUCAAGAAGGAUAGGUUCUAGUUGAUAAGGACCAAUGCCUCUACUGUAAGGAAAAGGGACACUACAAGAAGAACUGUCACAAAUAUCUAAAGAUGAUCAUGGAAAAGAGAGGUGAGAACAUUAUUUCUUUUGUAAAUGAAUCCUUGUAUAUAGAAUAUUCAAAAACCACUUGGUGGAUUGAUUCAGGAGCAACUGUUCAUGUUGCAAAUUCAUUGCAGGGAUUCCAUUCGACGAGAACCACUCAAAGAAGCGAAAAGCAAGUUAGAGUGGCAAAUGGAGCUCAGGCAGACGUUGAAGCAGUGGGAGACGUUCAUUUGGAACUCGACACUGGCUUCAUUAUAGUCCUUAGGGAUGUUUUAUAUGUACCGUCUUUACACAGAAACUUAAUUAGUGUGUCUCACCUGGACAAAGAUGGUUAUUCCUGUCUAUUUGGAGAUGGCAGGUGUUUGAUCGAAUGUAAUGAUAUAGUUAUUUCCAUUGCAUUCAGAAAGAAUGAUCUUUAUUUGAUAUCGUUACGCGACAGUGUGAAUUCCGUAUGUGAUAACAAUGCGAAUGUAUCCUCGUCUACACUCGCGAAUAGAAAACGAAAGAGAACUCAAGAUGCGUCGUCGAAAUUAUGGCACUGUCGUUUAGGCCAUAUUUCGAGGGGGAGAAUAGAGAGAUUAAUUAAAACCGAAAUUCUUCCUCCAUUAGAGUUCUCCGACUUAGAAUAAUGCAUUGAAUGCAUAAAAGGCAAAUUCGUUAAGAAAAUAAAGAAAAAUGCUAAGAGGAGCACAGAUGUAUUAGAAAUAAUUCACACAGAUAUCUGUGGUCCGUUUAAUGUAAAGAGUGUGGAUGGUUAUGACUCGUUCAUAACAUUCACAGACGAUUAUUCCCGUUAUGGAUACAUUUAUCCAAUUAAAGAAAGAUCGGAGGCUUUGGAUAAAUUUAAAAUAUUCAAGGCCGAAGUAGAAAAUCAACACGAUUUAAAGAUUAAAAUCGUAAGAUCCGAUCGUGGAGGGGAAUACUACGGCCGACAUACCCAAUAUGGCCAAGUCCUAGGACCUUUUGCAAAGUUCCUGAUGGAGCAAGGCAUAGUAGCCCAGUACUCGAUGCCGGGCGAACCUCAGCAGAACGGAGUGGCUGAAAGACGCAAUCGUACCUUGAUGGAUAUGGUGCGAAGCAUGAUCAGUUACUCUACAUUGCCAGUGAAUUUAUGGAUGGAGGCUCUGAAAAUCGCCAUUCAUAUUCUCAACAGAGUUCCAAGUAAAUCGGUGCCGAAAACACCGUAUGAGAUGUGGACAGGAAGAGUACCCUCACUGAAUCAUCUGCGGGUGUAGGGGAGUCCUGCUGAGGCAAAAGUGUUUAACCCGACUAUUGCAAAACUAGAUUCCAAAACAGUAUCUUGCCAUUUUAUUGGCUAUCCAGAAAGGUCAAAGAGUUUUCAUUUCUACUGCCCAGACAGAUCCACAAAAUUUGUAGAAACGAGACACGCAGUCUUCCUUGAAGAUCAAAUGAUCCGGGGGAGCGGCACAGCAAGGAAGAUUGAUCUUGAGGAGAAGCGGGUGUAUACACCCAAUCCUGUGAUUCAGGAAUCUUUCUUCCCGCUGCCCGCUGUGUCUGCAUCGCCAGUGCAAGUCACUGCGAUGCCAACACCUGUAGUAGCUCCUUCUGUGGUGACGAUGAAUGAGGAAGUGGAACCUAUUCAUCAGGCUCGUGACGAGCACAUUGCCGCACAAGAAGAGGAGCAACAGCAGCCCCAAAUAGAUGAGGCACCGCAGGCUCAGGCUCAUGGGAGACCUCAAAGAACAAGGAAGUGCGCUAUUUCUGACGACUAUGAAGUCUAUAAUAGCGAAGAAAUUCAAAUGGAGGAUGAUCCCACUUCAUUUGAAGAAGCCAUGAGAAGUGAACACUCAUCGAAAUGGCUUGAUGCCAUGGAAGAUGAAAUAAAAUCGAUGAGUACCAACAAAGUGUGGGACUUAGAGGAAAUUCUUAAAGGAGCCAAAACAGUAGGCUGCAAAUGGGUCUACAAAAUUAAACAUGACUCCCAAGGGAAUAUAGAUAAAUUUAAAGCACGACUCGUGGCAAAAGGUUACACACAAAGAGAAGGAAUUGAUUACAAUAAGACUUUUUCCCCAGUCUCAUGUAAAGAUUCUUUCAGAAUCAUAAUGGCUCUUGUAGCUCAUUAUGAUCUAAAAUUACAUCAGAUGGAUGUGAAGAUAGCAUUCCUGAACGGGGAUCUAGAUGAAACCGUCUACAUGGCACAGCCGAAAGGUUUUGUCGUGGAAGGUAAAGAAAAAUUGGGAUGCCGCCUGAAGAAAUCGAUUUAUGGGCUAAAGCAAGCUUCAAGACAGUGGUACUUGAAGUUCGAUAAAACAAUAAAGGAAUUCGGGUUUAAAGAAAAUGUUGAGGAUAAUUGCGUUUACGCAAAGUUCAAGAAUGGGAAGUAUGUCUUCCUAAUCCUGUAUGUGGACGACAUUCUACUAGCAAGUAGUGAUGUCAGUCUGCUACUAGAAACGAAAAAGUUUUUAUCCUCGUAUUUCGAGAUGAAAGAUCUUGGUGAAGCAAGAUUCGUUCUAGGAAUCGAGAUUCAUCGAGACAGAUUGAAAGAGGUAUUAGGACUAUCUCAAAAGACAUAUAUAGAAAAGGUCCUAAAGAAAUUCAACAUGCAUAAAUGCAGUGCCUCACCUGCACCUAUAGUUAAGGGCGACAGAUAUGGGGAAUUUCAAUGCCCCAAGACUCAAUAUGAAAUCGAUCAAAUGAAAAUAGUACCAUAUGCUUCUGCUGUGGGAAGCUUACAGUAUGCACAAGUCUGCACACGCCCUGAUAUAGCUUACGUUACCGGGUUGCUUGGCAGAUUCCAGAGUAAUCCAGGACCAGAACACUGGAAGUUAGUAAAGAAAGUUCUGCGCUAUUUGCAAGGAACAAAAGGCCUCAUGUUAACAUACAGAAAAAUAGAAUCUCUGCGUAUCGUAGGAUACUCAGACUCCGAUUAUGCAGGAGAUGAUAGAAAAUCCACGUCUGGAUAUGUGUUCACCCUUGCCGGGGGAGCAAUAUCGUGGAAAACUUGCAAACAAACCGUCACUACAUCGUCCACAAUGUAUGCCGAGUUUGUUGUAUGUUAUGAGGCUACAGGGCAGGUGAACUGGCUAAGGAAGUUCGUACCCGGUCUGAGAAUGGUUGAUGAUAUAUCUAAACCAUUACAGCUGUACUGCGAUAGUGAGCCCGCAGUAAUGUAUGCUCACAACAAGAAGACAAGUGGUGCUGCCAAACACAUAGAUAUAAAGUAUUAUGUUGUGAAAGAUAAAGUCCGAGAUCAGAUUAUAAAUCUCGAGCAUAUAAGCUCAGUGAAAAUGCUUGCGGAUCCGCUAACGAAAGGCUUACCACCCAGCGUGUUCAAGGAACACGUAGCCGGCAUGGGGCUAAGGGAUAGCCUGUGAUCUUCGGACUAAAAGGGCCCAAACGGUUAAAGAAUCCGUCUCUGAAUGGAAGCGUGAAUUGUAGCUGCUAAAUCUAUCGACAGAUGAUCGUGAUGAUGAGGCAUGCUCUAUACACAAAUCUAUGACCAAAUGCGAAAAAGUAAAAGUAAAAGAAUAGUACAGGGUGAGAUCAAGGGGGAGAUUGUUAGAAUUGAUCUCCCUGGACCAUCGGACCCCAACGGGCCCGAUGGGCCAGCUCACCUCUGCGCCCUGAUCGGGAGCGUCCCAGCUGAUCUCUAGCUGGUGGGCCCCCGUCGCGCCGCGCUAUAAAAGGACAAGUGGGGGCCAGCGGCUCGGAUCACGAGAAUCACCGGCCGCCGCCACCCCACCCACAGUUAACCCUAGCCGAUCUAGUCUGCGCGCGAUCAGCGGCGGGAAGCUCCUCCGGCCACCUUCGACGCUCUCUGCUUCGACCCUGACGCCGUGAACGCGACCUCACCUUCGGCCACCGCGAGCACGAACGCCUUCGGACCGACCACCGCGACUUCCCGCACUACACCACCAUGGCGGGCACAUCUGCAUCAGCCGGCGCCCAAGGGCACGAAGGUAUACCCGUGCCCUUCCCCUGUCUAUCUCUCUAUCCCUCUCUGUUACUCGAUUAAGUCGAUUGCACGGAGUAUCUUCUAAUCUAAUCGCGCACUAGCUGAUCCAUAUUGUUAACACGUCCAUCCUGUGCCUGAUGUUCUGAUUGAACAGCAAGUAAGAGGCGAACUAUCUGCCGUGUUGUGGAAUCUGGCUAGUUCUAUCAUACAACUGGAGGGGUCAGAGUUUUCGAUGUGAAAUCGGCGUUUGUAUGUGAUUGACUAGUUGGUAGUUUUUGUGUUCAUGCGUGCUUAUGAAUUGUGGUCGCCUUCAUUUCCAAAGCUGAGAGCCUGACGGUGAUUUCAGAGAGGAUUCCCUGUAGUAUGCAGUCUAGCUGGUUAUUUGUUUCUCAUAUUUCCAAGCAACAACUGAUGAAUAUUGUUUGCAAACCGGUUCAAAAGAAGUGUAUAUGCGUUAUUUGUUCUCAAAACGUUUAUAUAUAUGAGAGACAUUCGUCGCGUGUGCAUUGCCUUUCUCUGGAUUUAUAUCAUCAUAUACUAAUGUAAUUGAGUCUGACUGAUGCGUAUAGGUAGGAAGGAAGCAGCGCCCUUUUCCUUUAUCUAAAAAAUAAUACCUGCUGAACCUCUCGUCAUCACACAAUUUGAUCGGUUAAUCAGUGCUUAAUGCGGCCUAUAUCCUAUUGUUAAAGCAAAAGAUGUUGUAUAAAUUCAAACAGAAGAACUUCAGCUGAAUUACAAACCCAUGCAUAUCGAUCUCUUCCGUAAUACUUCAGAGCGUACUCCGAACACACUCUGGCACUCAUAAAAUGCCCGGCACUCAGAAAGAAUCAAAAGAGAGGUGAACAAACACACAGACCACGCAAUACAAACUCAAAGAGCGAGCAGUAAUAUAUAUGCAAGCGAAUCAAUGGCCGGAUCCAGGUGAACCUGCAGCCCGCUUAGUACGAUCGCCACCUUCGCCCUGACCACCAUCCGGCAUGGGCUUCCGGGAUACGCCAGUGUGCGUGGUCAGUGCCCAGAGCACGGUGAUGAACUCGCCUCCCUCCACCAGCGCGUUCUCAUGCCCCUUCAUGCGUUCCUCGUCCGUCGAUGGUGCCAGGUAGAUCAUAAUCACUACGGGAAACGGUUACUUUGCCGAGUGUCAAAAACACUCGGCAAAACUCCAAAAACACUUGGCAAAGGCUUUGCCGAGUGUUGCACUCGGCAAAGGACACACGGAAGAGAAAAUAUCGGCAAAAGGGACUUUGCCGAGUGCAUUUCGUCGGGCACUCGGCAAAACCUUUGCCGAGCGCAAAGUCCCGCACUCGGUAAAUUUUAAGCGCCGUGACGGAGCAGGAACAUAACUGACGAUUUGCCGAGUGCCUGGUCCUUGGCACUCGACAAAGAAAUAAUCUUUGCCGAGUGCCGGCGCUGAGGCACUCGGCAAAGAUUGUUACUUUGCCGAGUGCCAGAUGCCUAGCACUCGGCAAAUAUUAUUUCUUUGCCGAGUGCCAAGGACCUGACACUCGGCAAAGAUUCUUCAGAUUUUGCCGAGUGCAAACACUCGGCAAAGUGACCAGAAUUACCCAUUUUAAUCUGUUUUUUCUAUUUCAUCCACGCAUAUAUAUCAGAAAAAUAUAUAUCAUCACAAAGACCACCAACAUCACAUCUAUAUCACAAACAUCACAUCUAUAUACAAACACAAUCGAUUCACAUACAUAUCCCAAAUCGGUUCACAAACGUAUUAUCAUUACAGACCAUAAAUAUGUCACAAAUAUGCAUGUCUCACAAUAUAGUCCAUAUAAUCAUGAGAUGUCAAAAAACAUGAGAAGUCUACAGAAACAGGAUAAGUGACAAAAAUCAUCAUCAAGACCUCCAACCCGGCGACCUCCAACCCGACGUAAUUGGAGAAACAUGAGGGUCAUUUGAGGCCGCCGAUUGAUUCUGCAAAAAGGAGAAGCGAUCGCAUGUGUGAGACAAGAUAAAUGAAGGUCAGACAUGGCUAAAACUUAUCCAUACUCACAGGAGUAGAAAACUCAGCAGGAGGUCGAGGUGAAGCGAACAACAAAGGUGGUGGAGCUACACCCGCUGCGGCCCCAAGAGUCUGCAUGUAGGCAAACAUAUCCCUCAUCCUGUGCUCGUUCUCCACACGUAGCCUCCUCUCUUCUUCUAAUUGGGCUUGCAAAAUUUUCACUCCAAUGUUAUGAUAAUACAAAGAAAUUGUAUACAAUAAUCAAUGAACGACGAAUAAAGAAGAAAUGCCCUGGAGUGCCUGUAUCCGGUACUGUGAAGUGUCUUGCCGAGGUCGUAUGCCUGGUCUCGCACUCGUGCUCCUUGCUCUAAUCUAAGAUAGAAUAGGAGUAGAGGACGAGUCGACUACGCCGUCGGCAAUCCAAUACCGCCCAUGAUUCUUUCCUCCUCCAACCCUCAUGAUGACUUCUCCGUCAAGGUCCUCGGUGGCCGGAUCAAACUGUGGACCAUGGACCUCCCUUGCCAUCGUUGUGUACGCACUGAGGCGGGUAUGGACCAUCGGGUUGCUGUAUGCCUCGGGCCCGUCCUCCGGAUUGUAGUUGACGUCAGACGUCGUCUUGUCCUUGUGGGACAUAGCAUAUGCCUUCAAGAGGGAGCAAGGCUGGCCACCAUGUGACGACGACUGCAAGAAAACAAGCAAGAUGAUUAGAAAUCAUUCAUAAUUGAGUGUUACAUUAAAUAAAUUCAUUCGCGUACCCAUGCUUCUGCGUAUCCGCUGAGGCUGCGACUGCCUUGAUGGUGUGUUGCACCUGGCAUCAUCAAACGCCGCUCCUGACAAGCAUUGUGCGACUCCUCCCACUCGUCGGAGCACCACUUGUGCACCAUCUGUCGCCAGCACUCUUGAUGCCCGGGGCACCAAUAAGGAGUCGUCUACAGGGCAUCAAGUAUUUGAUAUAUUAGAAGAUGAAAUUAAACCUGCUUAAUGUAAAAAAGAAUGCACAUUAAUUUUCUUUAUUUACCUGCAAGUACUGCUCCUCAGUCAAAGACAUGGUUCUUGCUUCCGUUUUGGUGACCUUCUCUCCAAGAACGGUGGCGUGAAAACUAAUAAUGGCCUGGAUACGCGCCUCAUAGUGCAUAUCCACGACUCGUUUCUUACAGACUUUGGUAGCCACCACAUCAGCUUUGUCCUCAAAUCCAUCCUCACAUCUGAAGAAAUCCUGCAUGCAAACACGAUGUAUACCAUUCAUUUUUUUAAGAAUGUGAAAUGAAUGCAAUGUAUUUAGCACUUACCCACAGCUCUUGUUUUACCUGCUCCGCCUUGUUGUUGAAUACCCUACCAUCCCGAUCUUCAGCACCAGGGGCGGCGGCGUAGUGGUCGAACCUAUAGGCCGGCUCCGUCACUCCACCGUACUCAACCAGGCCAGGGAAGUGUUCCCUACACAGAAGACCGAGGAUGCCAUUGACGGAGUGUUUGUGAGCAGCACCUGCACUCUGCACAAUCGUCCAGGACCUGCACAAAUGAUUAAGACCUCUUAAUAGUUUUAACUUUGAAUUUGAACAUAUAACAAGAAGAAGAAAUGGAAAUAUGAAAAGUUACUUACUUUUCCCCUUCGGGUCGAAUCAACGGGCGCCUCUCACGAGGUAUCGGUCGCUUAGGGAGACUGGCGGGACCUGUACAUGUGAUUAAGAAAAAUUAUUAGUUUCAACUUUAAUUUUGAACAUAUAACAUAAAGAAGCAAUGAAAAUAUAUAAAUGUUCUUACCUCGCAAGUAGACGCUCGAUGAACCAGAGGCACCAGAACCAGAGGCGGUCUGCUGCGCCUCGUCCUCCUCCUGCACCUCCUCAUCCUCCUCCUGCGCCACAUGCACCUCCUCCUCCGUGUCAUCUUGCUGCCCCACCUGCACCUCCUCCUCCUCCGCCUCCUGCGGGGGCACCUGCGUCGUCCCCCUCCUCCUCCCCCUCCUCCUCUCAGACGACCUAGAUGUAGUUGACCAAGUCCUCUGGUAAAGCGACCUAACACUCCUCAACCCACCGCCUACCAUCUUUGUUCAAUCACCUGCAAUUAAGAAGAGUAAAGUAAUAAGUACAGAUAAACAAGACGUACUUAGAAAGAGAUGCAAAAUAAAUUAAAUAUAAAUGCAUAAUAAUAUAGUAUUACAUUGAUUAAAAAUAAUCUUCAUAAUCGGAAUUAGCUGGAUCAUAAGUCUCAUCAUCACUAUCAAUCAAAUCAUAAUCAACAUUAUUCGAAGGAUCAACGUCGUCAUUGGCAUUGCCUAAAUAUAAUCGUUCUAGCAUUUGUAAGUCUUUCACAUUUUGGAUCUCAUCCUCCUCCUCAUCAACAACCGUUUCAACAUCCAUUUUGUCCGCUUCAGUUAAGUCUAUCUCAAAUCGCCCUUCUAGCCCCUCUUCUUGAAAGAACUCUCCGUCAUAUGUGUUUGGGUCUAAGUUGUAGUCUUCAUCGUUUGGAACAGGUACUUUACUGUGCGGUGAUACCUUGUGCACAACAUACCAACCCUUAAGAUGCUCUUUAGUUUGGCACGCAUAUGGGAGAUAAUAAACUUGUAUGGCCUGUUGGGCCACAAUAUAGACAUCGUCUCCAGGGAAGACGGAAUCCUAUCGAAUUUCCACUAGCCCAAGAUUAGAAUAUGUCUGUCUUGUUACUUCAGGAUUAAACCAAUGACAUUUGAAUAUGACAGGAUUAAGAGGUUUGCAACCAUAAAAACUGACUUCUUAUAUUUGUUCAAUUCUUCCAUAAUGCUCGAUCCCAUCAAGGCCAGGAGUAAAAACUCCAGUAUUUGUGGUCUUUCGAUUGGGUCGACUUGCCUCGUAGCUUGCUGUACAAAAACGAUAUCCAUUCAUGUCAUAAACAGAAUAUGACCUGACCCUAAGGGCAAAGCCAUUGGCAACCUGUCUCAACUCAACAUUCAUCGUAUGGCCCUGCAUGUUCAAGCACGAUAGAUCAUUUUAUUAUUCGCAUAUGGGAGCAACUUCGAAUGACAAAGUAAGUACAAGCUAGAUUGGAUGGUUACCUGCUGUUUGAACCAAUGAAUGAAAUCGGACAAUCCAUUUCCAGCACCCUGGCUAAAAAGGGUAUCACAUUCCUGUUGGGUAGGUUCCCUUGAUCGACGCCAGAAUUCAUGAAUAAAUUGCUUCAUGUACGGCACCACCUCGUCAAGGUUGGUCAACACAUAUAGCAUUAUCUGGCGCCACUCUUGAUGUGUCAAUGUCUUGGUGGUCGAACCACUUGCACUUCCGAGUUGCCCUAGGAAAAGGCUGAGGUUCGAUUCAUUUUCACUAGCAUUGUAACGAGGGGGUGGAUUGUGCACACUAGGGAGGUUGUCACCAUAGUAUGUUGUUAGUGAAGUUCGACACCUCCUCCAGAAUGUAUGCCUCUGCAAUGGAGGCCUCGAUUUUACAUUUAUUUCCACAUUUCUUCCGAAGAACCUUUAGAGACCUCUCGAUUGGAUAGCACCAACGACCCUGAACGGGCCCCCCAUUCGUGCCUCAUACGGGAGGUACAAUAUCAUAUGCUCCAUCGGAUUGAAGAAGCCGGGUGGAAAGAUCUUCUCCAACUUACAGAGCAAUGCCGGUGCAAUUUUCUCCAAGUCUGCCACCAUGGUCCGAGAUAACUCCUUGGCACAAAGCUGGCGGAAGAAAUAGCUCAACUCUGCAAGCACUAGUCAGACAUGCUCAGGGACAAAGCCUCGAACCAUCGCCGGAAGAAGCCGCUCAAUCCAUAUGUGGUAGUCAUGACUCUUCAUCCCUAAGACUCGCAUAGUAGAUAAGUUGACCCCCUACUCAGAUUAGCUGCAUACCCAUCAGGGAACAUCAACCUCUUGAUCCAUUAUAGUACUUCCCUCCUUUGGGGCUUGCUCAAUACGAAAUCGGCCUUAGGCCUUCUCCAUAUCUUUCCGCGAUCAGGAGGCUUCAUCUCUAGGUUUGGUCUAUCGCAUAACGUUGCUAAAUCCACUCUAGCCUUAACAUUGUCCUUUGUCUUACUGGGAAUGUCCAUGAUUGUUGCCCAAAGUGCCUCAGUGACAUUCUUUUCAGUGUGCAUCACAUCAAUAUUGUGUGGAAGGAGAAGAUCAUCAUAAUAGGGAGCCGAGUCAAGCCUGACUUAUGAGUCCAUAUAUGUUGCUGGCUAUAUCCCACAAAGCCACCUUCUGGAUUCACCAUGAGGCCAUCUAUCUGCUGACAAACUGCGGCACUAGUCUUCAUAGGAGGUGCAAGGUCUGUCACUACGACACCUUUCAUAAAGUUUUUGAUGUCUCGUCUAAAUGCAUGAUCAAGAGGGAGAAAUUGCCAAUGUUUAUCGAACGCCGAAUACUUGCCACCCUUCUGCAACCAAAUGAACCUAAGACCUUCCUUGCAUACUGGGCAUGGAUACUUCCCGUGAACACACCAGGCACUGAAUAUCCCAUACGCCAAUAGGUCAUGAAGGGAGUAUUGGUACCAGACAUGCAUUUUGAAGUCUGUCUUUGUAGCCGGGUCGUAUGUCCAUACUCCUUCCUCCCAAGCACGGACCAAUUCAUCAAUUAGAGCCUCCAUGAACACACCCAUAUUAUUCCCCGGGUGUCCAGGAAUAAUCAACGACAACAAUAUGUUCUGUCGUUGAAAGCAUACGCCUGGGGGGAGAUUGAGGGGGAUAACGAAUACUGGCCAACAUGUGUAUGGUGCAGCCAUCAUUCCAUAAGGAUUGAACCCAUCUGUUGCCAGCGCAACACGUACAUUACCAGACUCUCUGGCUUUCUCAUGAUGAAUGCUAUCAAAGUGGGUCCAUGCUUCACCAUCGGACGCAUGUACCAUCUUAUCAGGAUUGUAUCGUUUUCCAUUUUUGUGCCGUGUCAUCUGUUUUUGCGUAUUCCUCUAUCAUGUAUAACCGCUGGAUCCUCAGUAUGAACGGAAGGUGACGUAGGAUUGUCACGGGGAUGUCAAGCUACCUCUUGUGCCCAUCACCAGAGUCUACCUCCAUGAACCUAGAGGAUUUACACCUUGGACAAUACUUUGAUUCUGCGUAUUCUGUCCUAAACAGGACACACCCCUUCGGACAAGCAUGUAUCUGGUCAUAAGGCAUCUUGAGUGCAUGAAGAAGUUUCUGUGCCUCGUACAUGCUCUUUGGAAGAAUGUGACCCUUCGGAAGUAGGCUGCCAAUAACUGUCAACAUACCAUCGAAGGCGUCUCGGCUCAGGCUAUACUGCGACUUUAAUGCCAUUAUGCGUCCAAUGGCAUCCAAUUGAGAAACCUUUGUCUGUCCGUGAAGGGGUUUCUGUGCCGUGGCAAACAUGUCGUAGAACACCUUUGCAGUUGCCUCUAGCUCCUCCUCCGUAUGUCCUUCAACAAAUUGUGCCUCGUGAUAGUCAUGUAACAUUUCCGCUACCCCGGCAUCGGCAUCAUAAUCCUCGACACGUUGCCUCACCACCUCCUCUCUCAUAUGAUCGGCUUCACCGUGGAAGACCCACUGGGUAUAGCCUGCCGUAAAUCCAUUCAAACAAAGAUGUUCCCCCAUGACCUUCUUUGUUUGUCUUUUCCUAUUUGCACAUUUGCUGCAUGGACAGAAAAUUCUACUCGCUCCUUUAGCAGCUUCGCCAAACACCCGUUCCAAGAAAGACUCGGUCUUGUUGAUCCACUCAUCGGUGACUUGACCCCGACUUAAGUGGCCAGUGUACAUCCACUCACGGUCUUCCAUCCUCUAACAUAUGCAUUUGAAAGUAAUAUCAAUUUCAUAUGACAAAAGUUUUCAUCAUAAUGCCAUGACACACUCUCUAGCAUUUUCUAUAUCACAAUGCAUUCACAUUCUCUAGCCUUUUGUGUAUCACAAUGUCACAUGAUAAGCCAAGCCAACUUCUUAUAUCCUAAAAGAUGACUAAGGGGUGUUUGGACGUGCUAAAAUUUAGCCCUAGAUAUAUUAUUGAUUGUAUAAAUAAAUUCUAGUAAAAUAGUGGUAGAAGCUAUAUCUAAUGGCCGUGUCAUUGUCAGAAACAUGAAGUGUUGUAAUAGAUCGAGAAGUAGUAGGUUGUAACUGUCUUUUUAGUUAGCGCCAUGUACCUAUACAUCCAUUUGGGACGGAAGCAUUGCCCGUAUAGCCAUGGCUGCAUUGACAACUAAAAUUUUCUGGUUUAUUCUCGCAAACAUCCACAGGACUAAAGUUACAAACAUUGCGAUCUCCUAGGCUCCUACUCUAUGUUAAUAUAUUUAAUGGUCCAAAAUGGUACCUGUCUCUACUGCAAUACCACACACAUACAUUCAUUAUUGUCCAUGCCAAAAACCAUAGCAAACAUAUUCGCAAAUGCCACAAACCAUAGCAAACAUAGCAGUACCUGCGCGCCAUGGCUGCAUUGACAACUAAAAUUUCCUGGUUUAUUCUCGCAAAUACCAUAGCAAACAUAUUCGCAAAUACACAUGCAUCAGCUGGUGGAAUAUGAACGGAUGCAGUACCUAUGGCGGCCGGCGGCGGGGGCGGGGGCGCGGGCCGGGGGCGCGGCCAGCGGCGGGGGCGGGGGCGGGGGUGCGGGCCGGGGGCGCGGAGCCGGCGGGGUCGGGGGCGGGGUGGCACAGAGUGAAAGUGUGUGGAUAAGGUGGGAGGGAGCCGGCACAUAUUCAAAACCUUUGCUGAGUGCCAGAUCAUGGGCACUCGGCAAAGGCCCCUCUUUGCCGAGUGCCAGAUCAGCGGCACUCGGCAAAGAAAUCACAUUUUUCAAACCUAUUUUGUCAAUUUAUUGAAUUUCUUGUAUUUAUUGAAAUUUGAACUACAAGUCACACGAAUAAUGGAAAACAAUGAAUGAAAAAAAUGAUAUUCACGUUAUUGAAGGAUGCGUCGAGACCUUAUCGAGAAAAAAAUCAGAAAUUUCAAACUUGUUGUCCACGAAACAUGACGACGAACUUCUUAUCCAGUUGUUUUUAAAAUGUAUAAAAAGCAAAUAUGGUCCGAAAAUUAUGAAACUUGUCGAGAUGUAAUGAUAUCACAUGGGGAAGCUGUGAUAAAAAUCUGAUGAGGUUUCGUGAAAGUUAAAACAUACGAUGCUUACAAAUUGAAAGUUCUCCAAAGAGAUGUAUGAUUUUAUGUGAAAUCCGAUUAGGUGUUAAACAUCGUAGAUGUCAAACUUUUAUGAAAUCUUAUACAAAUUUUAUCACAGUGUCCUCACAUGAUAACAUGACAUCUCUACAAGUUUCAUAAUUUUCCGACCAAAUUUAUCUUUUAUACAAUUUAAACACGACUUGAACACAAUUUAGUCGCCAUGUUUCGUGAAUAGUAGGUUUGAAAUUUGUGAUCCUUUCUUCGAUAAGACCUCAAAGCAUGCUCAUUAACAUGAAUAACAAUUUUUCAUUCAUUUUUUCCACUAUUCGAAUGACCACGCAGUUCAAAUUUGAAUUAUUCAAGAAAUUCAAUAAAAUGAAAUAAAUUGUCAAAAUAUAGCAAACACUUCGAUAAAUGAACCUAAAUUAUAUAUCUUGUUGAGGAGAAUGUAGGAUGGCAAUAGAAAAAAUUUUAGACAAAAUAAAGAAAAAAAUAUGUAUAUUUUACUGAGUGUCUUGCCUAGGCACUCGGCAAAGACUCACGCCGUUAACUACCGUCACGUCCUGGCGCGCUUUUGCCGAGUGUCAUCCUUUGCCGAGUGCUCGACACUUGGCAAAAUAUUCUUUGCCGAGUGUUUUAUUACGCCGAGUGCCAGACAGUUGGCAAAGGAUAUAUUUAUCGUGUGUUUUCCUUUGCCGAGUAUUGCACUCGGCAAAGAGGAUUUUUGCCGAGUGCCCGAUAUUUUGCGCUCGGCAAAUCUCUGGACACUCGGCAAAGUCCUCGUUUCCGGUAGUGAAUCUCAGUCCACACAUCGCCCAGCAUCUUCCACACAAUUUCCGGAUCAUUCGGCGGCUUGCUUCCCGGAUCAUUCGGCGGCUUUGCCUUUGCCCGUAAUGAAGCACCUAGCGUCACACCAUUUUUCACCACCUUCUUUUCUGUCCAGCUCCCUUCUCCCUCGAGCUUCAUGAUCCUCCCGACCCGGGCGGCCUGCCGGAAGAAGAAGAACUCCAGGCAGCCGAGGCUCUCCUUGAGCUCCUUUUUCACGAGGUUGACGACGUCCUCCGUCUUGUCCUGAUUGUCCGGCAGGAGCUCCGGGUGGAAGAUCACCAGGUAUGAACAGUACUUGGACAGCCUCGUCGCCACAAUGCUGCUCGAGGUAUGAGAUGGGAAUUUGUCCUCGAAUAUGGUGGUGGCGAUGUGCCAGGUGAGGAUGACCUCGGCGAUGCUCUUGCUCUUGAACGCCCAUUUAAGAUCUUGGUCUACCACGGGCUUGCCAAUGGAGAUGGGAGCAGCAUGGUCAUGUGCCACGAGGUACUCCAUGAUGGAGUCCUUAACACAGGCCGGAACAGUCCUGGCCCGCACCAGCAGGGAGAGCGUGGACGGCAGCGGGAAGACCGGCGGCCACCGCAGGUUGAGCACGGAGAACUGCUUGAUGGUGAGCUCGCCGUGGCUCAUCCUGCUCCGCAGCCACCGGAUCCCGCGGAAGCCCCACCUGAAGCUGGGCUUCUCUCGCCACGCCGGCCUGGCCGCGUAGUCGCAGACGAGCGCGACCAUGAACCAGUUGGAGAGGAGGAAGACGGCGAGCUCCCAGACGGACUCGUAGACGAAGAUGAUGAAGAGGAGGAAGGUGAUGGCGAGGUCAAGCAGGGCGAAGAAGGUGUUGGGGGACUUUUUGACCUCCUUGAAGAGGCACAUGGUCAGGUUGCGGAUGCCGGUGCUGAGGGUGUAGUUGUCCGCGUGGAUGCUGGCCAGUGAGUAGCCGAAGUCUCCGUUGCCGCAGAGGAAGACGGUCAUGAGGCAGAGGCCGAGCACGAGUGCACGACCACGGGGAAGAGGAGGUAGUUGGCGAGCAGGAAGAAGAGGCUCGCGAAGAUGACGGGGACGACGGAGUGGUAGUACUCGGAGAGGAAGUUGACGUCGUCGGUGAUCACCUGGAACACCGCCUCGGAGUCCGUCGUCGUCCUCACCGUGCCUUCAUGUCCGUCCUCCUUGACCUUGUUGUAGUAGAGGCCCUUGAGGAUGAGCUCCCUGCCGUGGGUACGGUGGCUUCCUCCUCGGUCAGUGGCUCGAUCGUGCUGCUCGAACCGGCGGCGGAGGAGCUUGAAGAGAGCGGAGAGACAGAGCCUCCUCAGGCGUUGGUCUCGAUCCCAGCCAUCGAAGCUCGAAUCACUGUCGGUAAGCCUCCAGACAUCGCCGACUGUGAGCUGUGACUACGCCGGGGACGACCGCAACGCCGUUCGGGUCAACGUUCAGAUCGUAACCGUCCGCAGUCGCCUCCUUCACCAGCUGAUCUUCUCCCACCACGAUGUACGGGCACGCCUUCAGCAGCUGCUCAGGCGUCCGUCGUUGAGCAGCAUGCUCCACGUCGCCGCCGUCGUGGUGCACGACAGGAACAACGUGGAGGCCAAGGAUUUGUGCCAUGUAGGAGGCGAUGAGCCUGGCGUUCUUGCGUGGGCGUAGGAGCGCUUGCCGAACUCGGUGAAGGCGAUCCGCUGCACCACCGUGGUGGCGCAGAGGAUCCAGAGGAUGCCGAAGAGGAUCUUCCGGCCGGCGCUGCGGAUGUUGAAGAAGACCAGGCUGCCCAGCCAGACGACGCGGCCGGCGCGCUGGAGGCUGCUGGAGAUGCCCUUCGUGCGGAUCUCGUCCACCUUCUUGCGGAGGAGCUCCACCAGCAGCAUCCACACGAGGAUGACCAAAGCCUGCGAGGAUGGCGCCGAGGAGAGGACGAUGCGGACCUUGGGGUCGAGGAUGGCGCUCACGUCGGAGAUGCCGCUGAAGAGGUUCAGGUUGAAGAAGACCCCGGCGAGGACGAACAUGAUGACGGAGGCCGCCACCAUGGAGGCCUCAUUGCUCUGGUUGACGUACGUGGAGGUGAGGUUGGAGACGAACAUCCUAGUGGAUUGGUCGCAGACGACAUUCUCGAACAGCACCAUGGCUACCUCUUGGCCGGCUUCGAGAUAGCCACUGUAAUAGCUAGCGACACAUGCCUCGUAUUUAUAUAUACUGACUACUACUAUCUAGUUCAUCUCAAUCCAAAGGAGAUCGAAGAGGAAUAAGAGCAGAAAAUUGUUCCAGCAAGAACAAAGGAAGACGAAGAGCAUCGCGUGUAGGCGUAGGUUUGCUUUUUGUCGUCAAAUGCGACAAAGCUGCGAGUGAUUUAAAGCAGGAUGAAGGCACGCAGUAGAGUAAGCUGUAGAGGCAAUUUAAUUUAUUUCCUCCAAAGUUAAAGCUGAUAUUCUCGCUCGCUUUCCUUUUCCCUCCACCUACCAAACUUUUGAACCCUAAGCUCCAUCCCAGGCUUGUGUUGUACACCGUUCAUUUGUGCUCGCUAUAUAUGUAUGAUGCCUAUGGAAGCAAUGAAGAAGCGGGGCAUAGCAAAGCAAAUCAAGCAAGAAAGCUAGCGCUUGCCCGGCCAUGGCGGCAGCCGACGCCAUCGGUCGGAAAUCGGCAUUCCGGCGGGGGCUCAACGCGACGCGCUUGGCCGUAGCCUCCGCCGUGUCGGUGCCCAUCGUCUUGAUCGUCGCCUACGCCGUCACCGUGGUCACCUGGACCGAGGAGCGCUCUCUCUCUCGAUCACCGGUGGCAUCAUAUACGUGACGCGUGAGUUGGUGCAGCCGCGGAAGGUCGGACUCACCUUCAGCGUCCAGGCCAACAACCCCAGCGGCCGCGCCCGCUUCUACUACACACCGGCCUCCACGGCUUGGUCUUCCUUGCACUACAGGAAAACAGGACAUUUUCGACGGCCACUUUUAAUUUCGUCGGCCAAGGAGGCGGCCGACGAAAAUAUUCAAUUUAUUUCGUCGGCCAAAACAGUUCGACGAAAUUACGACUUGUUUUCGUCGGCCCAGAAAGGCCGACGAAAAAAUGACUCUAUUUUCGUCGGCUAGGACCUAGCCGACGAAAAAAUGGUACUAUUUUCGUCGGCUAAGGAUGGGCCGACGAAACAAGCACACUAUUUUUGUCGGCCAACCCUAAGCCGACGAAACUAACUUUAAUAAGUUUACCAUAAUUACCACGCGCAGUACCCCCACACUCACACACAGUACCUUUCCCUCUCCCUGCCCGACCCCGCGCCCGCCCGCCCACGCCGCCACCCCACGCCGCCCGGCCCCGCGCCCCCCGCCGCCGCUGCCGCCGCCCCGCGGCCCGCCUUGCCCCGCCGCACCGCCGCCCCGCGGCCCCCGCGCCCCGUGCGCCCUGUCGCCCACCGUCCGUCUCGGCCCCCGCCUUCAUCCCGUGCCGCCCCACGACCCACGCCGCCGCCCCGCGCGGCUCGGCCCCGCCCCCGCCGCAGCCGCCGCCCCCAGCGUCCCGCCUCGCCCUGCCGCCCCGCGCCCCGCCGCCCCGCGCCCCGUGCGCCCCGCCGCCCCGCGCCCGCGUCCCUGCCCGCGCGGGCGUGGCCGCGGCGCGUCCCUGCCCGCGCGCGCCCCUGCCCCUGCGCGCCCCUGCCCGUGCCCGUGCGCCCCGCGCCCCCGCGCGCGGAAGCCCUUUGCCCCGCCCGUGCCCGCGCGCCCGCGCGCCCCCGCGCGCGCCCUUGCCCCCGCGCACCCCUGCCCGUGCUCCCCACGCCCCCGCGCGUGGCAGCCCGUUGCCCCGCCCGCGGCCGCGGGCCGCGCGCCCCUACCCACGCGCGCCCCUGCCCUCGCGCGCCUGCCCACGCGCGCCCCUGCGCUUGCGCGCCCCUGCCCGUGCCCGUGCGCCCGGCGGCCCCGCGCGCGGCAGCCCUUUGCCCCACCCGCGCCCGCACGCGGCAGCCCUGUGCCCCGCCGCGCGCCCCUGCCCGCGCGCCCGUGCGCCCCUGCCCGCGCGCCCGUGCGCCCCCGCUCGUGCCCCUGCCCCCGCGGCCGCCGCCGCCACAUCGCGCCCCUACGGCCGCCUCCGCCGCAUCGCGCCCGCGCAGCUCCGCGGCCCGCCACCGCCCCCGAGGCCCCACGCCGUGCCCCCGCUGCCGCCCCCGCAGGCAACCGCGGCCCACCGCCGCCCACAGGUAUGCUUGCCCGUUCUCUUUGCUGCUAGUUUUGAACUGACCGAAUAACUAUUAAACUUAGUGAUGCAUUGUGGUCCACUAGGUAAUUUUUUGUAUUACUCUUAAACUGUAUUACUCUUAAAAUAUUUGUGUUAUAUUUCCUAGAUAAUUAUUGUUUGCUUAGUAUCGUUAAUGAAGUAAUAUUUCUCACUUUCGUUAUGAAGUAGAUAGUUUGAGAAAAUGAGAGACGAUCGAAGUUGGAUGUAUGAUGGUUGGACAAGUAACGGAAUGCCUACGCGAGAGUGGAUGGUCAACACAUAAGCUUUUGUUGAUCAUGUAUUUUUCUUGUCACCUGGUGCUGGUUUGGCAAAGUGUCCAUGUAACAAGUGUCAGAAUUGUUCUCGUCAAGUCAAGAUUGAUAUGGAGCGUCACCUAUGCAAGUGGGGUUUCAUGCCGAACUAUUAGAGGUGGUAUGAGCAUGGGGAGUCACAGGAGCAGGAGCCAUACAACCUAGUUGAUAGCUUUGAGGAGAACGAAGAUAGGAUGGAUGCAAUGAUGGAUGAUUUUGUCCAACAGGUUGAGAAUGCUGCUGAGGUACCGGAAUAUUUUGGUCUGCUUGCUUCAUCAAAAGAACCAUUACAUGGGGCCACUACUUUAUCACAGCUUGCUGUUGUGACACGGUUAAUGGCUAUAAAGUCCAAGUACAACUUUUCAGUAAGUUGUUACAAUGAUCUUGUUGACUUAAUUUCGGACAUGCUUCCGAAAUCUCACAAAUUUCCGAAAGACUUUUACUACUCAAAGAAGCUGUUAGCUGGUUUAGGGAUGCCGUAUCAAAAAAUCCAUGUCCAUGUGUAUGAGAACAAUUGCAUGUUAUUUUGGAAGAAUAAUGAAAAUCUCAAGUACUGUUCGUUUUGUAAGAAGUGCAGAUAUAAGAAGGUGGUGAAAAAAGAUGGAAGUGUGCAGAUAACAAGUGUGCCCGUUAAGGUGUUACGGUACCUACCAUUGAAACCAAGGCUUCAACGGUUGUACCUGUCUCAGAAGACUACAAAACAUAUGAGAUGGCAUAAAGAGGGAAUUCGUAAUAAUACAGGAUGCAUGAGCCAUCCAUCUGAUGGUACAGCUUGGAAGGCCCUCGACCAUUAUGAUCCAAGUUUUGCAAGUGACCCUCGGAAUGUGCGUGUUGGGUUGGCCACUGAUGGCUUCACUCCCUUUAACUCAAAUGCUGCCCCCUACUCCUGUUGGCCAGUGAUAACAAUUCCAUACAAUCUUCCACCAUCAUUAUGCAUGAAAGAUGAGUAUGUGUUCUUGACGCUCAUUAUACCUGGUCCUGGCAAUCCCGGUAAGCGUCUGAACAUAUUUAUGGAACCAUUGAUUGAUGAGCUGCAUGACUUGUGGAAUGGAGUUAGGACAUAUGACAGCAGUUGGAAGGAAUACUUCAAUAUGCGAGUAGCAUUUCUUUGGUCUAUUCAUGAUUUCCCUGCAUAUGGAAUGCUCUCGGGAUGGAGCACGCACGGGCGUCUAUGUUGUCCGAUAUGCAUGGGUGAUACAGAUGCUUUUCGUUUGAAAUAUGGUGGCAAAUUCUGCUUUUUUGACUGUCACCGUCGGUUCUUGUCUCAUGAUCACCCGUUCAGGAAUCAACGAGAUGUCUUUCGCAAGGACACAAUCGUUACUAAGGGUCCACCCAAGCGUUUGACUGGUCAGGAGAUUGUAGCAAGCUAUUGUCGGUUAAUUGCCACAGAUGAUGGGUUUGAAGGGGUCAAAGAGGAGCAUAAUUGGACUCAUAUAGCUGCUAUUUGGAGCCUUCCUUAUGCUACUGCUCUGAUCCUUCCACAUAAUUUAGACGUAAUGCAUCAAGAGCGCAAUGUUGCAGAAAGUAUAAUUAGUAUGGUUUUUGAUUUGAAAGAUAAGACUAAAGAUAAUUUCAAAGCUCGGCAAGACUUAGCUGAAAUAUGUGUUCAGCCAACCCUUAAUCUGAGACCCAAUCAAGCUGGCCAUAUGGGGAAGCCACGUGCUAAGUACUAUCUUAAGCCUGCGGAGAGGAAAGAAGUUCUUUUAUGGCUGAAGAACCUUAAAUUUCCUGAUGGAUAUGCAGCUAAUCUGAAACGGGCGGUGAACAUUGUAACUGGGAAAAUGAAUGGUUUGAAAAGUCACGAUUACCAUAUCAUCAUGGAAAGGUUGUUGCCUGUGAUGCUACGUGGGUACCUCCCUGAAGAAAUUUGGAUAAUGUUGGCCGAGUUAAGUUUUUUCUACAGGCAAUUAUGUGCAAAAGAAAUUAACAAGAAUACAAUGAGAAAACUGAGUAAGGAAAUACCUGUCUUAGUAUGUAAGAUGGAGAAGGUGCUCCCCCCGGGUUUCAUGAAUGUAAUGCAACACUUGUUAAUGCAUUUGCCUUAUGAAGCUGAGGUUGGUGGCCCCGUACAAUACAGAUGGAUGUGCUUUGUUGAACGAGACUUAAAGAAGCUCAAAGCAACCAUAGGAAAUAAAACACGAGUGGAGGGAUGCAUUGCCGAGGCAUUCUAUCUUAAGGAGAUCUCACACUACACGAGCACAUAUUUUGCAGAAGAAAAUAACAUUAAUGCUCAUAUACCGCGCUACCACACCUCGAAUGAGACACCGACGAGCAAUCUCAAGCUGCUUCAGUGGACUGGCAAGGCCGUCGGUGCUGGUUUGGUCUAUGAAAUGUGCACACAAGAAUGGAAUACUGCAUUGUUGUAUAUGUACACAAAUAUGGAGGAGAUGGAAAAAUAUUUCGUGUAAGUACCAUGUUAUAUAUCUCAUAUGUGAAUCACGUUUAGCGAUGUACUUGUGCUAAAUAAAGAAUCUGUAGGUUGUUUGAUCAAGAACAAUGGAGAUAUGCACGACAGCCAACUGCUAAACAGCUCAAAACCUUACGGCGUGAGUGUUUACGUGGUGGUCCAAAUUUUGUCACAUGGUUUAGAAGAUAUGUAAGCAUCCUUACUCUAACUACCUUAUUUAUAUAACUCGUUAUGAGUUAACAAAAUUUUAAAACUUGUAGUGCAUGAAGGAUAGCAAUGUCCAUGAUGAUCUAAGACAGCUUUUACAUGGAAGCACGACUGCUAGGGGUUAUGGUUGCUACAACAUAAACGGAUUUCGGUUCCGUUCAACCAAGUUUGAAGCAAAAAAUCCAUAUGCCGCCACAACAAAUAGUGGAGUUGUGACCACCGCGAGUGCCUCAGAUGGUUCUAUCACGGAGUAUUUCGGUGUCAUUCAGAAUAUAGUGGAGCUGAAGUUUGAAGGUUCAAAAGAUUUAAGAGUUGUGUUAUUUUAUUGUGAUUGGUUCAAUAGUAAAUUAGGUUAUGGGGUAAAGCAUAACAAAAAAUUUGGUUUAGUGGAGGUGAACCACAAAUUGCGACUUUCUGGUAACAAUCCAUUUGUCCUCGCACAUCAAGUUGAGAUGGUCUAUUAUAUGUCGUAUCCAUGCUGUUUGGAAAGUUUGGAACCAUGGUGGAUUGUUCAGAGAGUACGUCCUCCAGGUCGAUUGCCUAUUCGUGGAGAUGAAGGUUAUGAUGAAUGUGAGCUCGAUCGUACUGUUCCUGAAGCAUUUCAGGAAAAUGAGUGUAAUGGAGCCUUUGAAGUUGAUAUUGGGAUGGCACUUGACAGAUUAGAUGGUGACACCGGUGAUGUAAUAGUUUCUGAGGUUCAAAAGAAAAAACGGCCACGUCGUGCAAGUAAAGUAAUGUCCACAACGUAUGAAAUGCGGCAUGGUACUAUUUAUGGUGGCCCCGUAGCUGAAGAAGAUGACCCCGAGGAAUUUUAACAUGUAAUGUGAUGUUAUAUGUAGUUUUUCUUAAUAGUGUUCUAUUUGGUAAUUGUUGUUAUGAAACUUGUUAUCUUUUAUUUACCAUUGCUUCAUAUGAUAUUAACUAACCAUAUUUUAUUUUUUUAGGAUGAGGUCAUUUGUGCACUCUCUAAAGGGGAAGGGAAAGAAGGAUGUAUCCUCGUCUUCAAGAAGUCAGGGAAAGAAGAAUGAUGGCACAGCAUCUUCGGAUAGGCCUUCUCUCUUUAGAGGCAGCAGUUCUCAUCUGAGCCGAAGAAGUGCACUUCAGCGAUGUCUAAACGAGGCUGUGCAAGUAAGUCAUAUGUAGUUUGCAUGUGUAAUUUAUUUUUUUAAUAACAAUAAAUAUAUACUUGUAUUUGAACAACAAGAAGAGGAAGGUAGGGGUGCGGAUGAGGAAGUAUAUGUCGUGAAUGUGGAUGGCGAUGGAGAUGGAGGCAGUGGAGAGGGAGAUGGGUGCGAGGACAGAGAAGAGCGCGAGGAUGGAGAUGGAGAUGCAGAGGAGGAUGAAGAGGAGGAUACUGCUGCACAACCUGUGUUCAGGUACUUAUGAUCAUUUCAUGAAAAAAAUUUAUAUGAGCUACCUAACUAAUACACCACAUUUAGAUUUAGAGGCAACAAUGUGAUGACUCCUGCAGCAACCAAUCCGGCAAAUCGUCGACAGAUUAGGCCACAUGGGGGAUUGGUAAGUAAUAUAUUUUAUUGUCAUGAUUAUUUUAUUUAAUAUAUUAUAUAGUUCAAGUAAGAAACAUGGUGGAUAUCAUAUUCUAAUUGCAGGCAGUGGGACGAUAUUUGUUGGGAGGGAAGAAAUAGGUUAAGACCUGUGAAUGCAACACUGGGAACACUUUGUUGGUUUCACUACCCAGGAAUGGUCACAAUUGGAGGUGUGCUUCAACCUGCAUUGAAGUGGGAGCACUAUAAGCUGCAAUCGGAUGAUAAGGGUGUCUCGACGGCAGCGAGAGUUUGGAAUGAUUUCUGGGUACUUUUUUAUCAUAACUUAUCUAACUUGUAUAACUACUAUCUAUUUCAUUCAUUUAUGAGUUGUGUAAUGAAUUAAUUUUUCUUUUUAGGAGAGGUAUCGUUUGCCGGAGGGGGAGGAGCAGUGCCUACAAGAUAGGGCUCGUUCUGUUUUUAAGAAGGCAGCGACGAAGGUGGUAAGGGACAUGAUGUCCAAUACUCAUAUACAGUUCGUUUGUUUAUACUACAAGAAAGUAAAGCUGCAAGACAUGAACAAGAAACUGGGUGCUUCUGAGAUAUAUCUCCGAGAGGAUGAGUACCUUGAAGUUGAUAUUAGCGGUUUGCCUUGGUUGAGAAAGUGUCCGGAUGCUUGGCGAGCACUUUGUGCUUAUUGGGCUUCACCGAGCUUUGUGGAAAAAUUUAGGAUGAAGAGAGCUAAUCGUCAAGCAGGACCACAGGUUACACAAAGAUAUGGGGCUGAUGGACAUCUUCGUUUGGCUCGUGGAAUGGUACGUGUUUAUUAUUUCAAUUUGAUUAUUAUGUGCUUACUUGCAAUAUCACAAUUUUUUCUUUGCCAGGAGGCACAAAGUGGGGUGGCACCAAGCUAUAUUGAAACAUACAUUCGAGGCCACCACGGCGCAGAUCCUACACAGCCAGAGUUGCUUUGCAGUGAGAAUGCUACACAGACUCUGGUUAGUAAAAUAAUUUGAUUUCAAUUAAGCGAUGAUUCGAAUAUAAUCUUAUUAUUGGUUGCCUGAAUGGCAAGCGAGAUAUGGUGAUGAAAUGGUGGCACGUCAUGGGGAGGAACACGAUUGGAGGAGGAGUGAUGUGGAUGUCGGUGCCUUAUACUCAAGCGGGGGAGGGAAGAAACAUGGCAGGUUCAGCAUGUUGAAUGGCGUUAUUGAAACAAGUGGUGCUUUGAGUGAGGCAAGGUGUUCCCAGUCCACUCAGAAUUCUCGGGGGUACCAACGGGAAAGUCAAAGGGAAAGUGUGCUGCAGGAGGAGAUAAGGCAGCAUAGAGAGGCGAUGCAGAGGCAAGAGGAGUGCGCAAGGCAACAGUAUGAGUACAUACAAGGUUUUUUCGCUCAGCAUCGACAGAUUCAGGUACUAUGCAAGUUUGAUAUUUUUUCAAAUCGUUAUGCACUUUCCAUUGCUAUAAAAUAUUUAAUCUACUAUCGGUUUUUAGGAAAUGCUGGCGGCUACCCUUGGCUCACAAUUUAAUUUGCCACCUCUUCCUUCGCCUCCUCCUCCACCGCCGACUUUUGUACCAUAUGUGCGUCUACCGUCUCCACAAGUGGUAAUUAUAUCGUAUAACUAGCAAUACUCAAAUUGUCUUACAUAUGCAUACUAAAUAGAUUUAACUUUUUCUAUAAUCAGGGUUCGAGGAGUACUCAUCCUCGAGGAGUUUCUGCCAGCCCGUCCACGCCACCAUCGGCAGCGCGUAAUAUUUCUGGAGGUGACUGCGGCAGCGGAUAUAAUAUUACCCCUCCUCCUUGAUUUGUGUUUUCGCGUUGUAGGCUCUUGCACUUGCCAUGUAGGCCUAGUAGGGGAGCGUGUCAAAAGUCUCAUCGCAUUACUUUUGGUGGAUAACUUGCUUUACCUUGCUUAUGGAUAUGUUAUGGAUAUAUUAUAACUGUUUAUGGAUAUGUAACUGCUUUGGAGGUUAUCGACAUCACGUGACAUCGUUUCUCGUUCUUUAAUUGUAUUUAUUGGAUGUAUUUGGUGAUUGUAUGUUGAUGUAUUUCAUAAUUCUGAUUGUUUGUUAAUGGAUUAUGGAUAUGCAUAAGCAGUUAGCUGCAUCUCAGGUAGCUGCAGCUGCUGUUUGUAAGAGAUGCUAGUAUUUUACGGCGGACUGGCCGACGAAAAUAUACUCCAGCAUUUUCGUCGGCCGCAGCAGCCGACAAAAAUAAUAUAAUUAAUUUCAUCGGCCAGGGGCCGACGAAAAUACGUGAUAUAUUUUCGUCGGCCCACGAAACCGACUAAAAUAGUCACAGAUGUUUUCGUCGGCUACUGCAGCCGACGAAAAUAUUACCGUAUUUUUGUCGGCUUCCUUGGCCGACGAAAAUACACUUAUUUUCAUCGGCAGCCGACGAAAAAGAGCCUAUUUUCGUCGAGUUUAUUUUGUCGGUCUAUUUUCAUCGGUUGGCCGAUAUUUUCGUCGGCAAAUGGCCUAUUUUCGUCGGACGAAAAUGUCCUGUUUUGCUGUAGUGCUGUGAACAACGGCACGAGCAAGCCUAUCGCGAAGUUCAGCACGGGUACGAAGGACAUGGUCGUGGCCCCCAACUCGAUGCUGCAGACGGAAGCUUAUGUGCAUGUAGAUGACAUUCCCCAAAUCGCUCCCUACUUCGACGAGCUGUACAACAGCAGCAGCGCCAACAUCUUCUCCAACGCGAUGCUGAUGCUGAACGGUACCCUCGACGUCAGGCUCUACUCGGGUGCACAAGAAGUCCAGUGUCCAGACGGUUUACUACUGCUGGCCGCUCACCAUGGGCGCCGCUGGCAACGCCUCCGCGCCGGACAUGGAUGAUAACGUGCCGUGCGGGACCUAUGAUCCGAUGGAAUAGUUUCAUUCUUUAAUUUGUUGGUGUUCUUGUUUAAUGCUACUUUGUACAAUCAUAUGUGGAUCGGAUUUGGUUUGACAUCAGCUGGUGUAUUUUGAAUAUGUAUUGAAUUUGCACAGUUAUGCAAAUUUGCACUGACUACUACUAUCUAGUUCAUCUCAAUCCAGCAAGAACAAAGGAAGACGAAGAGCAUCGCGUGUAGGCGUAGGUUUGCUUUUUUGUCAUCAAAUUAAAUGCGACAAAGCUGCGAGUGAUUUAAAGCAGGAUCGAGGCACGCAGUAGAGUAAGCUGUAGAGGCGAUGUGACCAGCUCGAAAGUGAAGAACAUAUGACUCAGGUUCUUUCUUUCUUGACAAGCUAUCAGGAUGCUAACUUUUCUUUUGUAUAAAGAACAAAGUAUGAUGCCCUCAUCAUCUGUCUAUUCUUAUAUAUUAUAAGGAGACUUCCUCCUCGCCAAUUGACCGGCGAUUUGCAUUCCUGUCGAUCACCGCAAUUUUAGUGGACAGUGAAUUGGAGAGGGAUAUUUGGGCUUAGGGUGUGGAGGUUUGGGGUUACUUGCGCCUGCAAGCCUAGUGGAGCUCCGGGGUGGCUUGCCGUCCGGUGGUGAAGGGGGAGAGAUGUCGUUAAUCUUUGAAUUUUUCAGGACCUUGAAGCUUCUAGUAAGAGAAUUCAUAAUUCUCUUAGUGGCUGAUAGUGUGAAAUAUAUAUUUAUAUAUAGCAUCUAAGAACAUCUAGUAUAGGUGCCAAGCAUGUUUGGAACGACGGUCAUAUAAUUGCAUGGUAAUUCUGAUCACGGAAAAGCAUACAAACAAUAAUUCCUUGAAAUUUGGACAAAAUUUGGAUAGAAAUGGUGCAUCUUUUGAUGAGCAGUUAUGUUCUAUUGGCAAAUGGUAAUUCUGAUCAUGGUAAAAAAGAUUAACAUAUCACAGAACUCGUGAAAUUUUGAACACUUAAUAAGCAUGUUGUCUAUUAUUAUUCGAAAUGAAUAAUUUGCCGAAAAUGCAAGCACCCCUAUUGACUUGAUCACUCAACCCGGAUAAGCAUCUUAUUACACAAAAAGAAUCUAACCAAAAAAAUCGAUCAGUAUAUAUGCUCGAUGAAACCAUCCCCUCCCAAUGCAUAUGGAUUGUUUUGAAAAAUUCGCAAAUCGGCUUGGGCAAUAUAUAUAGACAAAUCAGCUGCCUCUUCCCCCAACAACAAACGACAAAAGGUCCAUCUUGCUGCUUAUAGGGUUUUGGAACCACAUUCCUACGAGACACAUCACUUUAGCAGUGUCACUAGGUAACGCAUUAUAACCACUUUAAUCCUUGGAAUCUUUUCUUCCUCAAGUCCUGGCAAUUUAAUUUAUUUCCUUCAAAGUUAAAGCUGAUAUUCUCGCUCGCUUUCCUUCUCCAUCCCAGGCUUGUGCUGUACACUAUUCAUUUGUGCUCGCUAUAUAUGUAUGAUGCCUAUGGAAGCAAUGAAGAAGCGGGGCACAGCCAAGCAAAUCAAGCAAGAAAGCUAGCGCUUGCCCGGCCAUGGCGGCAGCCGAUGCCGUCGGCCGGAAAUCGGCGUUCCGGCGGGGGCUCAAUGCGACGCGCUUGGCCGUAGCCUCCGCCGUGACGGUGCUCAUCGUCUUGAUCGUCGCGUACGCCGUCACCGUGGUCACCCGGACCGAGGAGCUCUCUCUCUCGGUCACCGGCGGCAUCAUAUACGUGACGCAGGAGUCGGUGCAGCCGCGGAAGGUCGGACUCACCUUCAGCGUCCAGGCCAACAACCCCAGCGGCCGCGCCCGCUUCUACUACACUGGCCUCCGCGGCUUGGUCUUCCCUGUGAACAACCGCACGAGAAAGCCUAUCGCGAACUUCUCCCAUGGUAUGAAGGACAUGGUCGUGGCCCCCAACUCGUUGCUGCAGACGGAUGCUCUUGUGCAUCUAGAUGACAUUCCCCUAAUCGCUCCCUACUUUGACGAGCUGUACAACAGCAGCAGCGCCAGCAUCUUCUCCAACGCGAUGCUGACGCUGAACGGUACCCUCGAGGUCGGGCUCUACUCGGUGCACAACAAGUCCAGGGUCCAGACGGUUUACUACUGCUGGCCGCUCACCAUGGGCGCCGCUGGCAACGCCUCCGCGCCGGACAUGGAUGAUAACGUGCCGUGCGGGACCUCUGAUCCGAUGGAAUAGUUUCAUUCUUUAAUUUGUUGGUGUUCUUGUUUAAUUCUACUUUGCACAAUCAUCUGUGGAUCGGAUUUGGUUUGACACCAGCUGGUGUAUUUUGAAUAUGUAUUGAAUUUGCACUGUUAUGCAAAUUAAUUGUUGGUAUAGAGUGGCGAAGAUACUUUCUCUGCCCUUUUCGCCCUCCUUUACAAACUAAGGGAAUAUGGGUUGGUUUACAAAGCGGUAAUUAAGGUAGGCUUAUAUAAGUUUGCUUUCUCUUCCUUGAUCAUGACAUUCACGCCUUCUUCCUCUUCACCAUCCUUCCUUCCAUGCGUGGAUUCGAAGAGUGCAAGGAACAUAGCUCCAUUAGAUCAUAAUUGUGAUUUUGGUGAUUGUGUGACAACAUAGUCAAUGGGACUAACAAGUUUACGAGCUCAAGUUUGUAUGAUUUUUAGAUCCCAUGGAUGGAGUCCAAUCCAUAUACAAGAUGGUCCAAAUCGCUGUCAACAUGUCCAAACGACAGCCGAGAUGAUUUGGACAAGGUUCAGCAUGAUUACAUUAGUCGGUUAAACCGACGGCAUGAACUUAUAACAGGUUGGUGGUUUGGUGAGUUGAUAUGGCGAUCAAGUGAAGAAAUGGCAGAGGCACCGGUUAAACUGACAAUGUAAAAGAAGAUAACGGUGCAAGCGUGCUGUGGUUACUCAGUAUGCAUGAUUUGGUUCCAGAAGGAUUUCCGAGCAAAGUCUUCACCACUCGGCGCAUCACGUCGGUGCAAUGACGUCAGCACAGGAUGGCAAUUGGAGUUCAACGGCUAGUAGGCAGGCUAAGUAUGACCAGUUAAACUGACAGUGGCGACCGGUUUAAUCGAUGCUUUAUGCUUUUCUGGAUAAAAAUAAGCAACGGUCAUGAGCUGUCCUCUAGCCUAUAUAAGGCCUCACCCCGGAUCAUUUGAGGCAGCUAGAGUUCGUGAGAAGCUACAAAAACUCUGCUGAAGUUCUCCAAGCCAACCAAAAAGCUCAUUGAUCAAAUUAUUAGGUUUAACACAAGCUUUGGGUAGUGUAGUGCUAGGCUAGCUCUAGGAAGAGUGUGAGAGCAAGAUGUUGUGACCCUUUACUGGUUCUUGAGUGAACCUCAAAAUUGUAGCUCGGUGUGCCGGCCCCUUGGAGUCUUAUUGGCUCGCCGGCAAGUCAUUGACCCUUCGGCUUGGUGUGGAGCGGCGACGACUGCUUUGUGCAGGGGACGUGGAGACCCUCUUGUCGGUGUUUUACCGCCCGCCCACUAAAGGGUAUACCCGAGGUGUUGAGUUUUAGGUAGGGUGUCGCCGAGAUCAGGAACUCGAAGGUGCAAGCAACACGAGGUUUAGACAGUUUCGGGCCGCGAUGUGCGUAAUAUCCUGUGUCCUGUUUGGUGGUUUGUAUUGCUUUGGGUGUUGAUGUGUUUUGAGGGGGUCCCUGCCCACCCUUAUAUAUCCGGGAGGACAGGGUUACAUGAAUCCUAGUCCAACACUAGCUUACGAAUUUUACUUGAGUACACUCGAGUAGCUUCCUUCUGUAUCGACUAGUUCUACUUCGCAUGCGAGUAGAGUACAACACAGAUAAGGUAUAGGACAUGUCUUAUCCCCUAUUCUUGUAUGAACUACGUUAUAUACACAGUCUCAUAGUCCUGAGUCUGACAAGCCUCCGAGCUCUUCGUAGCUGAGUACUGCAGGCUCCUCGAGUACUUCCGAAGUAGUCUUUGUCUUCUUUUGAAGCUCCGUCUUGAAGUUUUUCUUCGAGUACUUCUUUGGCUGCAUCGAAGCUAUGAGGUGCUCAUGCUCCGAAUUACUUCUUUGGUAUGGGGUGCGAUGGAAAAUUGCACUCCAUAUAGAGUAGCCCCCGAACCUUAGGUUGAAUCGAAGAAUCAGGCUGAGGGUCACAUUAGUCUUGAAUCUUCCUUGCUUACUCUUCGAAUAUAUUCGAAAAAUAAGUAGUCGAUGCCACGUAUCCCGCAGCCCCCGAGUCUUGAAUCCAAAUCUCUCAGGUUUGGGAAAAAGGAUCCAAUGGUCGUGGCAUGCAGUGAAAAAAAUAUUCCCUUAGGAAAUAAUUGGUGUGAUGGUACAAAUGAUAGAGGUUAGAUUUGGAAUUCAAAAACCCCUUUUUUCGGGACAAUUAACCCUGAAAAAAUGGUUAAUCAAAUAAUUUCUCUAAAAGUCCACCAAAUAACCCCUCAUCUUCUGAAUAUGCCCUGUGACGACUUUUCAACUUCAGAACAGUAAACCUAUAUCCAGCCGCUGGUUAUUUAACCCCGCGGUAACUUAGGAUAAAACCUGUGCUUUCACUCUUGAAUCCGCCAAUCGAUGAGCUGCUAACUCUCAUAGCAGCCCAUAAGGAAAUGGGGGUGACCGGCGUGUCUGUAAUGUUGUCAUUUUUCAAACGCCGAAUCCAACCCAUCCAGCAACGCCAUACGUUAGGCUUCGAGUACAUGGGUACUAAAGACCCAUCUCGGAUGUGCGCAGAGGAAUUGACCGACGAUGCCGUGCUCAUCCAGGUCAAGCGGGUGCUGCUGGAUGUGAACACGGUUCCCUACAUCCCAGAGCUGUUCUCCGCACAAAAUCCUCCAGAGCCGGUAAGCUUUCAACUACUUGGAAUACUUUCUGUUGUUCUGGAACUUCCGCUAACUGAGAAUCCUUUGCAGGGACACACGGCGUUGUAUCAGAGUUAUCUGCCACAAUCCGAUGUCCCCCGACUGUACCACCUUCUCCCCAGCGCCGCAGCUGAAGCGAAAAGGGCUCAAUCGUCUGAUGAUCUGCCCAGCGGCGAGACAACCGAGAGCAAGAUCCCCCUGGUGGAUGUGACACCUCAGGUAUAUGGGAGCCAGUCUUAGUGCAUUGAGUGUAGGAUGUGCUCUUGUGUGCUAUUUAAGGACAAGAUUUUAGGGUGUUUGUCGGUGUUUUACCGGCUGCCCACCGAGGGAUAUACCCAAGGUGGUAAGUUUUGGGUGUGGAGACGCCGAGAUCAGGAACUCGAAGGUGCAAGGAACACAAGACUUAGACAGGUUCGGGCCGCACGGAGCGUAACACCCUACGUCCUGUAUGGUUUUGUAUUGCCUUUGGUGUAGAUUGACCUAAUGAUCUUCUGUUUUGAGGGGGGUCCCUGACCUCCCUUAUAUACCCGAGAGGCCAGAGUUACAAAGAUGCUAACCAACCCCACCGAGGGAUCAUACCAGAACAUAUCUCGAGUAGAUCCCCUCCGUGUUGGUUAGCUCUAUCUCCUAUCUAAACGGGAUAAACAAGAGAUAAACAAAAUGAAUAAGAGAUAAGACGAACUUAAUCUCUUAAACCUCUUUAAACUACGCUACGCGCCCAGCCCGGUAGCCCUGGGUCUGACAAGCCCCCGAGCUCUUCGUAGCUGAGAACUGCAGGCUUAUCGAGUACUUUCGAAGCAGUCUUCGACUUCUUCUGAAGCUUCGUCUUGAAGUCCUUCUUCGAGUACUUGCUUGGCUGCAUCGAAGCUAUGAGGUGCUCAUGCCCCGAAUUUUAUUCCUGCUAUGGUGUGCGAUUGAAAAAUCGCACUCCAUAUGGAGUAGCCUCCGAGCCUUAGGUUGAAUCGGAGAAUCAGACUGAGGGUCCCAUUAAUCUGCAAUCCUCCUUAUUCUUCAAAGAAAUUUGAAAAAUAAGUAGUCGAUGCCACGUAGCCCGCAGCCCCCGAGCCUUGAAUCCAAAUCCCACAAAAUUGGAGAUAAGGAUCCAAAAAAUCGUGGCAUACAGGCUAAACAAUGGCACCAUAAGAAGAGACCAAAGUGAUGAUGCAAAUGAUGAAAUUAGACCAAAAAUUCGAAAACCCCUUUUUUCGGGCUAAUAGCCCUGAAAAAAUGAUUAAUCAAAUAUUUAAUCCAAUCAAACCACCAAAUGACCCCUCACCUUCGGGCUAUUCCCAAGAACGACUCUUGAACUUCAAAACAGUAACUUUUCCCCACUCCGCUGGUUAUUUAACCCCGCGGCAACAGUAGGAAAAAACCACGCUUACAAUCCGCAUUCCGCCAAAAGCCACCAAAAUCCCCAAUCUGAGCCAAGCACCGCCGCCAUCCCCCCAAGGAGAUCCUCCUGCUCCAACCUCCCCGCCCCUCUCCCCGCAGCCCCCGAGCAUCUCGUGGCUAGCGCAUCGGAGAUGGCGUCCAAGAAGUUAGAGAUCGAGGAAAGGAAGAAGGAUGCGGAGCCAUCGACCGCGGAGUGGACACACAGUAAGUGCUCCCUCAACAAUCUGAACAAACUAGUCUCCGAGGGGUUGCUGCAAGACAAGAACCUUGUCAACUGGCGCCCCUCUUUCCGUGAACCUUUUCCCAUGGAGAAUGUCGACGAAAUCGUCACAUUCUUCCAUUUUGCCGAAAGGGGAUUGGCCCUCCCCACUUGUUCCUUCUUUCGCGGCCUUCUUUAUUAUUAUAGGAUUGAGCUCCAUCACCUCAACCCUAAUUCCAUUUGCCAUAUUUCCAUUUUCAUCCAUUUCUGCAAAGCAUUCCUCGGAAUCGAACCCCACUGGGAUCUAUUCCGCUACCUCUUCCGCGUCAAACCCCAGCCUACCACGAAGAAACUUGCCGUAGUAGGGGGCGCCGGCAUCCAACUGCGACAGCAGGCCGGCGAAAAAUACCUUGCGUACAAAUUCCCCUCAAACCUUCCUGGGUGGAAAAACCUAUGGUUUUACAUCGAAAACCAUGGUUCCCAACUGCCAACGAAGUCGAGCAGACCGCCUGUGGUGAGGGGGGAAUGGAACCUUGAGCCCUCCGGCAUGGAAAUGAUUCAAGUCAGAGAGCUGCUGGAGGCCAUCGAGGCACAGAAGAAGAAAGGAGUGACCGGCGCCUCCGUCAUGUUCUCAUUUUACAAACGCCGCGUCCAACCCAUCCAACAGCGCUGUUGCCUGGGCUUCGAGUACACAGGCCCCGCUGACCCUUCUCGCAUAUGCACAGAAGAGCUGCCAGAUGAAGUCGCACUCCAGCGAGUCCAGCGGGUGCUGCUAGACGUGGGCGCCGUGCCGUACGUGCCCACAUUGUACUCUGCACAAAAUCCGCCCACGCCGGUGAGUAUUCGACUUCUUGUUGCUGAAGGAACCUGCUAUUGCAUCAUUACGUGACUGAAGAAAUCUUCUGCAGGGACACACGGAGUUGUACUGCAGCUACCCGCCGCAACCAGACCUCCCCCGAGCAUAUCAUCUCCUCCCUUCCGCUGCUACUGUGGCCAAGAAGGCUCGCCUUGCUGCAAUUCAAGGCAGCAACGAGUCCGCCGCAUGCGUGGACUCGCAGGCGGGAGGAGGGGCCGAAGGAGAAGCGCGCCCUUCUGCCACUGCGGCCAAGACGGCUCGCCUUGCUGCAGCUCAAGGUAGCAGCAAGACCACCGACUGCGUGGACUCGCAGGCGGAAGAAGGGACCGAGGGAGAACCGGGCCGGGACAGCUGCUCCGACCAGAGCGUGGAGUUGGCCGGCGCUCUACCACCGGUGCCGAAGGGCCAACGACAAGUGCGCAAACGCAAGGCGCAAGAAGUCGAGUGCUCCAGGUAUUGAGUUGCUGUUUUGGCGAGCUGCUAAGUAUCAAUGGUGCUGAAUACUGACAGUAUCCUCUCGUAGUCUCCCUGCUCUGCCACCCGGGACCGAGCCCGAAGGGGUGGAAACAGGCCCAUCCGCCACCGCUGCAGUGACUAUUGCCGUGGCGGGGACCCCUCAAUCGGCCGACCAAGCCUCGCCACCAGCAACAGGUGUUCCUCGACGGGCCUGGCGGGUGAGGAAAGCCGCCAAAAAGAAGUCGACACUGUGAGUAUUCCUCCGGUCGCUUGAAGGUCGUGUCCUUUCCCACUUGUAUAACAGUGACUUCGACAUUAUCAGGGCUCCAAGCGCGGUGCAGCUUCGGCUGGGCCCGGGCGCGGCUACUGCGGCUCCAGAGCCAUCAACCCGAGCUGAACCUUCCGGUGCGGAACCAGCCCCAGCUGCUGCAGCCCCCGAGCCCUCGGCGCCUGGAGAACAAGUACUCGCGGAGCUGGCCCCUGAAGCAGGUGCGACGCUUCCCGACUUGCCGCCUCCCGAGCCCCGACAAGACGAAGCCGAAGCUGGUGGCGAAGAACAAGUCGAAACCCCUGCUGCCGCUCCUACUGAUGGCACAGGUACGCGCUUAUCUGCCCGCGGCUGGCUGCCGAGGUCUGGGCGCAAUAUAUUGACAACAUAAUGUUCUUGCAGGUGCCCAGCA